This 497-nucleotide ribosomal RNA is filed under the name uncultured bacterium. RNAcentral describes it as "partial 16S ribosomal RNA". It matches the Rfam family "Bacterial small subunit ribosomal RNA", at positions 28 to 507 of the family's 1533-position model. The record is from RNAcentral.
GAUGAACGCUGGCGGCGUGCCUAAUACAUGCCAGUCGAGCGAACGGACGAGAAGCUUGCUUCUCUGAUGUUAGCGGCGGACGGGUGAGUAACACGUGGAUAACCUACCUAUAAGACUGGGAUAACUUCGGGAAACCGGAGCUAAUACCGGAUAAUAUUUUGAACCGCAUGGUUCAAAAGUGAAAGACGGUCUUGCUGUCACUUAUAGAUGGAUCCGCGCUGCAUUAGCUAGUUGGUAAGGUAACGGCUUACCAAGGCAACGAUGCAUAGCCGACCUGAGAGGGUGAUCGGCCACACUGGAACUGAGACACGGUCCAGACUCCUACGUGAGGCAGCAGUAGGGAAUCUUCCGCAAUGGGCGAAAGCCUGACGGAGCAACGCCGCGUGAGUGAUGAAGGUCUUCGGAUCGUAAAACUCUGUUAUUAGGGAAGAACAUAUGUGUAAGUAACUGUGCACAUCUUGACGGUACCUAAUCAGAAAGCCACGGCUAACUACGUG